Molecule: ribosomal RNA, 301 nt
Filed under: uncultured bacterium
Lineage: Bacteria
Description: partial 16S ribosomal RNA
Rfam family: Bacterial small subunit ribosomal RNA
Source: RNAcentral
CAGUCGCCACGGGAAUACGUAGGGUGCAAGCGUUAAUCGGAAUUACUGGGCGUAAAGCGCGCGUAGGCGGUUACUCAAGUCAGAGGUGAAAGCCCGGGGCUCAACCCCGGAACUGCCUUUGAAACUAGGUGACUAGAAUCUUGGAGAGGUCAGUGGAAUUCCGAGUGUAGAGGUGAAAUUCGUAGAUAUUCGGAAGAACACCAGUGGCGAAGGCGACUGACUGGACAAGUAUUGACGCUGAGGUGCGAAAGCGUGGGGAGCAAACAGGAUUAGAUACCCCCGUAGUCCCUGUCUCUUAUAC